RNAcentral lists this transfer RNA (73 nucleotides) under Ipomoea nil (Japanese morning glory). It matches the Rfam family "tRNA". From Rfam's summary of the family: Transfer RNA (tRNA) molecules are approximately 80 nucleotides in length. Their secondary structure includes four short double-helical elements and three loops (D, anti-codon, and T loops). Lineage: Eukaryota; Viridiplantae; Streptophyta; Magnoliopsida; Solanales; Convolvulaceae. The record is from Rfam by way of RNAcentral.
GCACCUGUAGGUCAGUGGAUAGAGCGUCUGUUUCCUAAGCAGAAAGUUGUAGGUUCGACCCCUACAUAGUGCG